This 826-nucleotide ribosomal RNA is filed under the name Onthophagus vinctus. RNAcentral describes it as "SSU rRNA". It matches the Rfam family "Eukaryotic small subunit ribosomal RNA", at positions 470 to 1255 of the family's 1831-position model. Lineage: Eukaryota; Metazoa; Arthropoda; Insecta; Coleoptera; Scarabaeidae. The record is from RNAcentral.
ACGAAAAAUAACGAUACGGGACUCAUCCGAGGCCCCGUAAUCGGAAUGAGUACACUCUAAACCCUUUAACGAGGAUCAAUUGGAGGGCAAGUCUGGUGCCAGCAGCCGCGGUAACACCAGCUCCAAAAGCGUAUAUUAAAGUUGUUGCGGUUAAAAAGCUCGUAGUCGAAUUUGUGUCCCGCGCCGCCGGUUCAUCGCUCGCGGUGUCAACUGGCGUGUCCGCGGGACGUCCUGCCGGUGGGCUUAGCUCUUCGGGGCGGCCCAAUUUCAAUCCCACCGCGGUGCUCUUUACUGAGUGUCGAGGUGGGCCGGCACGUUUACUUUGAACAAAUUAGAGUGCUUAAAGCAGGCUAAAACAUCGCCUGAAUACUGUGUGCAUGGAAUAAUGGAAUAGGACCUCGGUUCUAUUUUGUUGGUUUUCGGAACCCCGAGGUAAUGAUUAAUAGGAACGGAUGGGGGCAUUCGUAUUGCGACGUUAGAGGUGAAAUUCUUGGAUCGUCGCAAGACGGACAGAAGCGAAAGCAUUUGCCAAAAACGCUUUCAUUGAUCAAGAACGAAAGUUAGAGGUUCGAAGGCGAUCAGAUACCGCCCUAGUUCUAACCAUAAACGAUGCCAGCUAGCGAUCCGCCGACGUUCCUCCGAUGACUCGGCGGGCAGCUUCCGGGAAACCAAAGCUUUUGGGAUCCGGGGGAAGUAUGGUUGCAAAGCUGAAACUUAAAGGAAUUGACGGAAGGGCACCACCAGGAGUGGAGCCUGCGGCUUAAUUUGACUCAACACGGGAAACCUCACCAGGCCCGGACACCGGAAGGAUUGACAGAUUGAGAGC